Molecule: ribosomal RNA, 465 nt
Filed under: uncultured Klebsiella sp.
Lineage: Bacteria; Pseudomonadati; Pseudomonadota; Gammaproteobacteria; Enterobacterales; Enterobacteriaceae
Description: bacterial SSU rRNA
Rfam family: Bacterial small subunit ribosomal RNA
Source: RNAcentral
CCUACGGGUGGCUGCAGUGGGGAAUAUUGCACAAUGGGCGCAAGCCUGAUGCAGCCAUGCCGCGUGUGUGAAGAAGGCCUUCGGGUUGUAAAGCACUUUCAGCGGGGAGGAAGGCGGUGAGGUUAAUAACCUCAUCGAUUGACGUUACCCGCAGAAGAAGCACCGGCUAACUCCGUGCCAGCAGCCGCGGUAAUACGGAGGGUGCAAGCGUUAAUCGGAAUUACUGGGCGUAAAGCGCACGCAGGCGGUCUGUCAAGUCGGAUGUGAAAUCCCCGGGCGCAACCUGGGAACUGCAUUCGAAACUGGCAGGCUAGAGUCUUGUAGAGGGGGGUAGAAUUCCAGGUGUAGCGGUGAAAUGCGUAGAGAUCUGGAGGAAUACCGGUGGCGAAGGCGGCCCCCUGGACAAAGACUGACGCUCAGGUGCGAAAGCGUGGGGAGCAAACAGGAUUAGAUACCCCUGUAGUC